UAAAGGACAAAAUUUUAAACGGUUUUUGAACAAAAAAAGAAAUUAAUUGGAGUCUCCAAUUGUAGAGCAGCAUAUUCACUAUUUCCGUUCUUCAAAUAUUGAAUUGGCAAGGAUCGAUCCACAUAAUCAUAAAAUUCAUUUAAACGCAAACUGUCCAGAACGUGCUGAUGUUGACCGGAUACUAAAACGAAAUCUUCUUCACAAAACCAUCAUAAACUGCCUGGUUUCCAAUACAAACAGUCCAAAAAUAUAUUUUUUAAAAAUAACUCCACUAACAAUAAGUAAAAGUCUUUGAUUUAUUUUUUUUCUUUCAGUAUAGCACUAUAUACUUUCGGAAUUGGGUCCGAUCAGCGAACCAUUCGCUGUAGCUUCACUUCACCAACUGCUUUCCACUUAAGUGGUGUGAAUUAUUUUCACAAAAUCAUUUUUACAAUCUUCUAAG
Teleopsis dalmanni is the source of this 442-nucleotide long non-coding RNA. RefSeq lists it as uncharacterized. The transcript is spliced from 4 exons. The record is from RefSeq and is a predicted model, not a curated record. Lineage: Eukaryota; Metazoa; Arthropoda; Insecta; Diptera; Diopsidae.